Long non-coding RNA from Homo sapiens (human), 690 nucleotides. RefSeq lists it as uncharacterized. The transcript has 2 exons. The record is from RefSeq and is a predicted model, not a curated record. NCBI's taxonomy places the organism in Eukaryota, Metazoa, Chordata, Mammalia, Primates, Hominidae.
UGAUAAUCCUCUCAGAAUCCUCAUGUGUUAGUUUCCUGGAACUGCUAUAACAGAGUACCACAAAUGGAGUGGCUUAAAACAACAUAAAUGUAUUCUGUCCUGAAGGCUGGAAGUGAGAAAUCAAGGUGUCAGCAGGGAUAGUUCCUUCUGAGGGUUCCGAGGUGGACUCUGUUUCACGCCACUCUUCAAGCUUGUGGUGAUGGCUGACAAUCUUUGGCAUUCCUAGGACUGGUGUCCUCAUCAGAAGAGGAAGAGACAUCAGAAGCAGGUCUGCACAGAGGAGAAGCCAUGCUGGGAUACAAUGAGAGGGCAUCUGUCAGCAAGCCAAGGAGAGAAGCCUCAGGAGAAACCACAGCUAUCGACACCUUGAUUUUAGACUUCCAACCUCCAGAAAUGUGAGAAAUACAUUUAUGUUGUUUUAGCCACCCACUCUGUGAUACCGUGUUAUGGCAGCCCUAGAAGACUAAUAUACAAAUAACUAGUUGUGAAACUGAAAACUUCUGAAAAAAUCUUUAUAAAACAUCAAAUAUUAUUAACCUUGAUUGUAAAAAGACUGAAUUUUCUUUCUACUAUCUUUAUAGAGAAAGAUAAUACAAAAUAUUUGUAAUAUGAAUACGAAGUGAAAAAAUGUAAGAAAAAAGUAUUAUAGAGAUGUAUUAGGUAGCUGAUUAAAAAUGUUAUUUUUCUAGA